RNAcentral lists this ribosomal RNA (301 nucleotides) under uncultured Mycoplasma sp. RNAcentral describes it as "bacterial SSU rRNA". It matches the Rfam family "Bacterial small subunit ribosomal RNA", at positions 28 to 334 of the family's 1533-position model. Lineage: Bacteria; Bacillati; Mycoplasmatota; Mollicutes; Mycoplasmatales; Mycoplasmataceae. The record is from RNAcentral.
GAUGAACGCUGGCUGUGUGCCUAAUACAUGCAUGUCGAGCGAAGCACUUUGUGCUUAGCGGCAAAUGGGUGAGUAACACGUACUUAACCUACCUUAUAGAUUGGGACAACAUUUGGAAACGAAUGCUAAUACCGAAUAUGCUAUUUAGAGGCAUCUCUAAAUACUGAAAGAUCCGUUUGGAUCGCUAUGAGAUGGGAGUGCGCUACAUUAGUUAGUUGGUGGGGUAAAGGCCUACCAAGACGAUGAUGUAUAGCGGGGUUGAGAAGCUGAUCCGCCACACUGGGAUUGAGAUACGGCCCAG